This is a long non-coding RNA of Quercus robur (English oak), 722 nucleotides long. RefSeq lists it as uncharacterized. The transcript is spliced from 3 exons. The record is from RefSeq and is a predicted model, not a curated record. NCBI's taxonomy places the organism in Eukaryota, Viridiplantae, Streptophyta, Magnoliopsida, Fagales, Fagaceae.
AUUUCUUCUUAUUGGAUUUUAAUCUACUCCUCUUUUAUUGCUUUAAAUAUGCAUGGUAUAUUAUUCAGCACAACCUAAAGAUUCUCUCUCUCUCUCUCAAAAUUUCUUAUCUUUCUUGUUUGUUUCAUUAUUUACCAACCUCUCUCUCAAUCAAACAAAACUGAAAAACCUCAGACUCAGAGGAUGUUCAUCUCUCAGAAAGAAGUGACAGGCACGUUCUCUUUCUCUCCCUCGAACUUUGCAGCCAACAACCUCUUCAAGUUGCUGGAGUUAGUCACGUAUUGGGAUUCAUGCACAUUGGUUAGUCACGUACUGGGAUUCAUGCAUCGAGAGAAAGAUUGUUGCUACAAUACAAGUCCAAUUGGGUAUUGAGGUAAGAGUUCAACUGAAGGUUGGUAUUUCGGGAUAGGCCAAAGGGUUUGGUAAGAUUUACUUAUACUUGUAACCGCUAGUGAUUGAUAAUAGUAGAUUCUUGGGAGUGGUGACCUUAAAAUCACUCGGUAGGGUUUUACCUCAGUAGUUUUCCCCAUUCGUAAACAAUCACCUGUGUCAAAUUUAUUUUCCGUUGCAUUUAGAUAAUUAGGUGAUUUGUUUGUGCUGCCACGUUGUUGCAUUAAAUUUGAUCUAAUUAAUUAACUUGAAUAAUUAAUUAAUUAAUUAAUUGCAAGGGUUAAUUCAUUUUAACCCAACAUGGUAAUAGAAUUUUGUUUAAAAUAAAUUAU